This 723-nucleotide ribosomal RNA is filed under the name uncultured bacterium. RNAcentral describes it as "bacterial SSU rRNA". It matches the Rfam family "Bacterial small subunit ribosomal RNA", at positions 30 to 741 of the family's 1533-position model. The record is from RNAcentral.
UGAACGCUAGCGGGAGGUUUACUACAUGCAAGUCGAGGGGCAGGAGGUCUGUAGCAAUACAGAUGCUGGCGACCGGCAAACGGGUGCGGAACACGUACACAACCUUCCUUUAAGUGGGGAAUAGCCCAGAGAAAUUUGGAUUAAUACCCCGUAAUAUAUAGAAGUGGCAUCACUUUUAUCUUAUAGCUCCGGCGCUUAAUGAUGGGUGUGCGGCUGAUUAGAUAGUUGGCGGGGUAACGGCCCACCAAGUCUGCGAUCAGUAACUGGUGUGAGAGCACGACCAGUCACACGGGCACUGAGACACGGGCCCGACUCCUACGGGAGGCAGCAGUAAGGAAUAUUGGUCAAUGGACGCAAGUCUGAACCAGCCAUGCCGCGUGGAGGAUGAAGGCCCUCUGGGUUGUAAACUUCUUUUAUCUGGGACGAAAAAGGGACUUUCUAGUUCAACUGACGGUACCAGAGGAAUAAGCACCGGCUAACUCCGUGCCAGCAGCCGCGGUAAUACGGAGGGUGCAAGCGUUAUCCGGAUUCACUGGGUGUAAAGGGUGCGUAGGUGGGCAGGUAAGUCAGAGGUGAAAUCUUUGGGCUUAACCCGAAAACUGCCAUUGAUACUAUUUGCCUUUGAAUAUUGAGGAGGUCAGCGGAAUAUGUCAUGUAGCGGUGAAAUGGCUUAGAUAUGACAUAGAACACCCAAUUGCGAAGGCAGCUGGCUACACAUAUAUU